ACAGGGUCUCUCUUUGUUGCCUAGGCUGGAGUGCAGUGGAACGAACUUGGCUUAUUGAAGCAUUGACCACCUGGACCCAAGUGAUUCUCCUACCUUAGCCUCUUGAAUAGCUGUGACAACAGGUGUGCACUACCACACCCAGAUAAAUUUUGUAAUUUUUAUAGAGAGGGCAUUUGACCAUGUUGCCCAGGCUGGUCUCAAACUCCUGAGCUCAAGUGAUACUCCUGCCUCGGCCUCCCAAAGUGCUGGGAUUACAGAUGAAGAAAAUGAGGCACUGAGAGAUUACAUAACUUCCCUUGAGUCAUAUUUGCUUGUAAGUGGUAAGGCUGGAUGUUGAACCCAGGACAAAGGGGGAACGGGACACCCCUGUUACAGAUGAGGAGGCUGAGGAUCAGAGAUGAGCUUGCUCAAGGUCGCUUAGCUA
This 424-nucleotide long non-coding RNA is filed under the name Homo sapiens (human). RNAcentral describes it as "HSALNT0195318". Lineage: Eukaryota; Metazoa; Chordata; Mammalia; Primates; Hominidae. The record is from RNAcentral.